This 469-nucleotide ribosomal RNA is filed under the name uncultured organism. RNAcentral's name for it is "partial 16S ribosomal RNA". It matches the Rfam family "Bacterial small subunit ribosomal RNA", at positions 335 to 796 of the family's 1533-position model. The record is from RNAcentral.
ACUCCUGCGGGAGGCAGCAGUGGGGAAUAUUGCACAAUGGGCGCAAGCCUGAUGCAGCCAUGCCGCGUGUAUGAAGAAGGCCUUCGGGUUGUAAAGUACUUUCAGCGGGGAGGAAGGCAAUACGGUUAAUAACCGUGUUGAUUGACGUUACCCGCAGAAGAAGCACCGGCUAACUCCGUGCCAGCAGCCGCGGUAAUACGGAGGGUGCAAGCGUUAAUCGGAAUUACUGGGCGUAAAGCGCACGCAGGCGGUCUGUCAAGUCGGAUGUGAAAUCCCCGGGCUCAACCUGGGAACUGCAUUCGAAACUGGCAGGCUUGAGUCUUGUAGAGGGGGGUAGAAUUCCAGGUGUAGCGGUAAAAUGCGUAGAGAUCUGGAGGAAUACCGGUGGCGAAGGCGGCCCCCUGGACAAAGACUGACGCUCAGGUGCGAAAGCGUGGGGAGCAAACAGGAUUAGAAACCCGAGUAGUCC